This 484-nucleotide ribosomal RNA is filed under the name uncultured gamma proteobacterium SkelCos6-19. Its description in RNAcentral is "bacterial SSU rRNA". It matches the Rfam family "Bacterial small subunit ribosomal RNA", at positions 417 to 892 of the family's 1533-position model. Lineage: Bacteria; Pseudomonadati; Pseudomonadota; Gammaproteobacteria. The record is from RNAcentral.
UUCGGGUUGUAAAGCCCUUUUKUUGGGAAAGAAAUCCAGCCGGCUAAUACCUGGUUGGGAUGACGGUACCCAAAGAAUAAGCACCGGCUAACUUCGUGCCAGCAGCCGCGGUAAUACGAAGGGUGCAAGCGUUACUCGGAAUUACUGGGCGUAAAGCGUGCGUAGGUGGUCGUUUAAGUCUGUUGUGAAAGCCCUGGGCUCAACCUGGGAACUGCAGUGGAAACUGGACGACUAGAGUGUGGUAGAGGGUAGCGGAAUUCCUGGUGUAGCAGUGAAAUGCGUAGAGAUCAGGAGGWACAUCCAUGGCGAAGGCAGCUACCUGGACCAACACUGACACUGAGGCACGAAAGCGUGGGGAGCAAACAGGAUUAGAUACCCUGGUAGUCCACGCCCUAAACGAUGCGAACUGGAUGUUGGGUGCAAUUUGGCACGCAGUAUCGAAGCUAACGCGUUAAGUUCGCCGCCUGGGGAGUACGGUCGCAAG